GCCGAGAGUCUCGACAGCGCGGGCGAUGGAAGAAGGGUAAGCCGGGUAGUUUACAGCGAAGGCCGCCGUGUUGGCGGGUAAAUUGCCUGAGAUUGUACCGUCUUUUAUGAUUCCCAUUGCUAUUUGCUGUGGCAGUUUGCCCUUUGCUGCCGCUGCAACAGCUAACGGCUAACAAAAAUCAACAAUUGCACGGCAAAGAAAGAGCUAAGGAAGGAGACUUACGGCGUCGUUUGGACUGGGAUGCGACGAUACUGUCACGAAGAAUAAUGCUUCGGUCUUGGGCAUGGGGUGGGGCACUGGGUAGUGGCGGUUCGGUCUCUGUUUAUCUUUUC
RNAcentral lists this long non-coding RNA (332 nucleotides) under Coffea arabica (coffee). RNAcentral's name for it is "long non-coding RNA (CARA_LNC004151)". The record is from RNAcentral. Lineage: Eukaryota; Viridiplantae; Streptophyta; Magnoliopsida; Gentianales; Rubiaceae.